GGUUACGUACUUUAUUUAAAAGACUUAGUUUGCACCUAAAAUUAGAGGUUACACUCCGUAACCC
This 64-nucleotide transfer RNA is filed under the name Lanceolaria lanceolata. RNAcentral describes it as "tRNA-Ala". Lineage: Eukaryota; Metazoa; Mollusca; Bivalvia; Unionida; Unionidae. The record is from RNAcentral.